Molecule: long non-coding RNA, 260 nt
Filed under: Vigna radiata
Lineage: Eukaryota; Viridiplantae; Streptophyta; Magnoliopsida; Fabales; Fabaceae
Description: long non-coding RNA (VRAD_LNC004711)
Source: RNAcentral
GGUGGUUUCGGUUUUUGUGGUCUUGGAGUGUGGAUUCCGAAUUUUCUGCAUGGAGAAGUGAUGGAAAGGUUUUCAAUUGGUUUUUUAAAACAUAUUUUAAUUUCUUUUGAGACAUGGUGCACAUGAGGACAAAAAGACAACAAAAUUGGUGGUUGAUUGAAGCUUAAAAAUUGAUUUGGUCUUGGUGGUGAGUAGUGCACGACCAUGAGGUUUUUCUUUGGCCAAUUGGACUUUUUAAUUUAUUUGUUAAUUGCACUUUG